This 253-nucleotide ribosomal RNA is filed under the name uncultured bacterium. RNAcentral's name for it is "partial 16S ribosomal RNA". It matches the Rfam family "Bacterial small subunit ribosomal RNA", at positions 524 to 776 of the family's 1533-position model. The record is from RNAcentral.
UACGUAGGGGGCAAGCGUUGUCCGGAUUUAUUGGGCGUAAAGAGCGUGUAGGCGGCCAUGUAGGUCCGUUGUGGAAACUCGAGGCUCAACCUCGAGACGCCGAUGGAAACCAUGUGGCUAGAGUCCGGAAGAGGAGAGUGGAAUUCCCGGUGUAGCGGUGAAAUGCGCAGAUAUCAGGAAGAACACCCGUGGCUAAGGCGGCUCUCUAGUACGGUACUGACGCUGAGACGCGAAAGCGUGGGGAGCAAACAGG